Molecule: ribosomal RNA, 159 nt
Filed under: Asterostroma cervicolor
Lineage: Eukaryota; Fungi; Basidiomycota; Agaricomycetes; Russulales; Lachnocladiaceae
Description: 5.8S ribosomal RNA
Rfam family: 5.8S ribosomal RNA
About the family: 5.8S ribosomal RNA (5.8S rRNA) is a component of the large subunit of the eukaryotic ribosome. It is transcribed by RNA polymerase I as part of the 45S precursor that also contains 18S and 28S rRNA.
Source: RNAcentral
AAAAUAACUUUCAGCAACGGAUCUCUUGGCUCUCGCAUCGAUGAAGAACGCAGCGAAAUGCGAUAAGUAAUGUGAAUUGCAGAAUUCAGUGAAUCAUCGAAUCUUUGAACGCACCUUGCACCUCUUAGCAUUCUGAGAGGUACACCUGUUUGAGUGUCA